RNAcentral lists this ribosomal RNA (496 nucleotides) under uncultured bacterium. Its description in RNAcentral is "partial 16S ribosomal RNA". It matches the Rfam family "Bacterial small subunit ribosomal RNA", at positions 28 to 506 of the family's 1533-position model. The record is from RNAcentral.
GAUGAACGCUGGCGGCGUGCCUAAUACAUGCAAGUCGAGCGAACAGACGAGGAGCUUGCUCCUCUGACGUUAGCGGCGGACGGGUGAGUAACACGUGGAUAACCUACCUAUAAGACUGGGAUAACUUCGGGAAACCGGAGCUAAUACCGGAUAAUAUAUUGAACCGCAUGGUUCAAUAGUGAAAGACGGUUUUGCUGUCACUUAUAGAUGGAUCCGCGCCGCAUUAGCUAGUUGGUAAGGUAACGGCUUACCAAGGCGACGAUGCGUAGCCGACCUGAGAGGGUGAACGGCCACACUGGAACUGAGACACGGUCCAGACUCCUACGUGAGGCAGCAGUAGGGAAGCGUCCGCAAUGGGCGAAAGCCUGACGGAGCAACGCCGCGUGAGUGAUGAAGGUCUUCGGAUCGUAAAACUCUGUUAUUAGGGAAGAACAAAUGUGUAAGUAACGAUGCACGUCUGGACGGUACCUAAUCAGAAAGCCACGGCUAACUACGU